GGAGAAGUACUCAAGCGGUGAAGAGGCUCCCCUGCUAAGGGAGUAGGCUGGGAGACUGGCGCGAGGGUUCGAUUCCCUCCUUCUCCGCCA
This 90-nucleotide transfer RNA is filed under the name Oscillospiraceae bacterium. RNAcentral's name for it is "tRNA-Ser". It matches the Rfam family "tRNA". From Rfam's summary of the family: Transfer RNA (tRNA) molecules are approximately 80 nucleotides in length. Their secondary structure includes four short double-helical elements and three loops (D, anti-codon, and T loops). The record is from RNAcentral. Lineage: Bacteria; Bacillati; Bacillota; Clostridia; Eubacteriales; Oscillospiraceae.